RNAcentral lists this ribosomal RNA (627 nucleotides) under Triticum aestivum (bread wheat). RNAcentral's name for it is "partial small subunit ribosomal RNA". Lineage: Eukaryota; Viridiplantae; Streptophyta; Magnoliopsida; Poales; Poaceae. The record is from RNAcentral.
AUGGAUGGUUACUUUGAUUUUUUAGAUGUAAACAGUUUCUCAAACCUUCCUACUAACUUGACUAUUACCUGCUUAAUUACAACAUUUGGACCGGCACCUUCGCACCAAGGCGCACAGCCGGCUCGCCGCAAGUACACCUACGCUGCCGCCUCCCCUGGGGGCUGCAAGGUGAAGUGGACGACCGAGGAGAAGCCGCACGGCGCGUCUGGGCUCUCAAGUGGGAGGCGGAGCUCGCCUCCCCCCAACGACGUCAGCUUUGAUCACAAGUGGAAGUGGGAGCCCAAGUCCAAGCCCCGUGCCGCCGGCAAGGCCAAGACCAAGCUCGAGGAAGCCAGCGAGGAUGACAAGAAUAAGCCGGCGAGGAAGUGCACGCAGAUCGAGGAGGUCCUCGCCGGCUGCGACGCCAUCCGCAAGGAUGAUGACUAUCUAAUGGUGAUUCCCUAUUCCCACAUUUUUUGCCCUCAUGUUGCAAGCUCUAAAGCUGCCCCUGCAAUUUACCAUCACAAGACAUGUCUGGGCAGCAAGUCUCCUGUGGCGGUUACUUUUAAUUCAUCGUUACAAUUCUUUGAUGGUUUGCUUGUUCAAACCUCGAUAUCUGCCUGUAGAUUCCCGUUGUUAUCUUUGUAG